GGAAGCUUUUAGCGGCACCAUCGACCGAUCUGAGUUCGCGAGGAUUUGAGUAUGAGUUUCAUUGGUCGGACCCGAAAGUCAGUAUUCCCCCUUUAGUUUUGAAGAAAUAUACUAACAAUUUUCAAGGAAGGUGAACUUUUCUUGAAUAGGUUGAAGUCAGGUGAAAACCUGAUGGAAGACCGCAGCGGUUCUGACGUGCAAAUCGAUCGUCAAAUUUGGGAAAAGGGGCGAAAGACUAAUCGAACCUUCUAGUAGCUGGUUCCUGUCGAAGUUUCCCUCAGGAUAGCAGCAACGAUAAACAGUCUCAUGAGGUAGAGCAACGAUUAGAGGCCUUGGGGUUGAACCACCCUUAACCUAUUCUCGAACUCCGAAUAUGUGAGAAGUCCUUGUUACUUAAUUGAACGGGACAUUGGAUUACGUGCUGCCCAACAAACCAGA
This 438-nucleotide ribosomal RNA is filed under the name Thelotrema suecicum. RNAcentral's name for it is "eukaryotic LSU rRNA". The stretch from base 95 to 438 matches the Rfam family "Eukaryotic large subunit ribosomal RNA", at positions 672 to 1135 of the family's 3401-position model. The record is from RNAcentral. Lineage: Eukaryota; Fungi; Ascomycota; Lecanoromycetes; Ostropales; Graphidaceae.